Molecule: long non-coding RNA, 221 nt
Filed under: Ricinus communis (castor bean)
Lineage: Eukaryota; Viridiplantae; Streptophyta; Magnoliopsida; Malpighiales; Euphorbiaceae
Description: long non-coding RNA (RCOM_LNC003212)
Source: RNAcentral
AAUCCAUAAUAACCUUGUUACAUGUCUUUGAUCGUUACCGGUGCACACGCGGUCCUGAUGCAACCCACCAGGUGGCAUGUUCUACUAAAGCCUCAUCCCAAAUCAUAUUCAACAAAUAUAAUAAUAAUCAUGGUCUAGCAAAAUUAUUAAACACAUAUCGAAAUAAAGAAUCAGAAUUUCGAGGAAACAACGUGCGACAUGUGGAAAAAUAAUAAUAACAA